GCUUAGCCCUAAACUUGAAUAAUUUAAUAACAAAAAUAUUUGCCAGAGAACUACUAGCCAUCGCUUAAAACUCAAAGGACUUGGCGGUACUUUAUAUCCGUCUAGAGGAGCCUGUUCUAUAAUCGAUAAACCCCGCUAUACCUCACCAUCCCUUGCUAAUUCAGCCUAUAUACCGCCAUCUUCAGCAAACCCUAAAAAGGUACCAAAGUAAGCACAAGAAUAAGCAUAAAAACGUUAGGUCAAGGUGUAGCCAAUGGGAUGGGAAGUAAUGGGCUACAUUUUCUUCAAAAAGAACAUUACGAAUCCCUUUAUGAAACUAAAGGGUGAAGGAGGAUUUAGUAGUAAAUUAAGAAUAGAGAGCUUAAUUG
RNAcentral lists this ribosomal RNA (368 nucleotides) under Dasymys incomtus (African marsh rat). RNAcentral's name for it is "partial 12S ribosomal RNA". Lineage: Eukaryota; Metazoa; Chordata; Mammalia; Rodentia; Muridae. The record is from RNAcentral.